UGGUCUUAGCUUGCUAAGGCCGAUGGCGACCGGCGCACGGGUGAGUAACACGUAUCCAACCUGCCGUCUACUCUUGGACAGCCUUCUGAAAGGAAGAUUAAUACAAGAUGGCAUCAUGAGUCCGCAUGUUCACAUGAUUAAAGGUAUUCCGGUAGACGAUGGGGAUGCGUUCCAUUAGAUAGUAGGCGGGGUAACGGCCCACCAAGACUACGAUGGAUAGGGGUUCUGAGAGGAAGGUCCCCACAUUGGUACUGAAACACGGAUCAAACUCC
Molecule: ribosomal RNA, 272 nt
Filed under: uncultured Bacteroides sp.
Lineage: Bacteria; Pseudomonadati; Bacteroidota; Bacteroidia; Bacteroidales; Bacteroidaceae
Description: partial 16S ribosomal RNA
Rfam family: Bacterial small subunit ribosomal RNA
Source: RNAcentral